UCCCUGGUGGCUUAGUGGUAAAGAAUCUGCCUGCAAUGCAGGAGACCCGGGUUCGAUCCCUGGGUUGGGAA
Molecule: transfer RNA, 71 nt
Filed under: Bos taurus (domestic cattle)
Lineage: Eukaryota; Metazoa; Chordata; Mammalia; Artiodactyla; Bovidae
Also listed under: 2 other names
Rfam family: tRNA
About the family: Transfer RNA (tRNA) molecules are approximately 80 nucleotides in length. Their secondary structure includes four short double-helical elements and three loops (D, anti-codon, and T loops).
Source: Rfam by way of RNAcentral